UACGUAGGGUGCAAGCGUUAAUCGGAAUUACUGGGCGUAAAGCGUGCGCAGGCGGCUUUGCAAGACAGAUGUGAAAUCCCCGGGCUUAACCUGGGAAUGGCAUUUGGGACUGCAAGGCUCGAGUGCGGCAGAGGAGACUGGAAUUCCUGGUGUAGCAGUGAAAUGCGUAGAUAUCAGGAGGAACACCGAUGGCGAAGGCAGGUCUCUGGGCUGACACUGACGCUCAUGCACGAAAGCGUGGGGAGCAAACAGG
Molecule: ribosomal RNA, 253 nt
Filed under: uncultured bacterium
Lineage: Bacteria
Description: partial 16S ribosomal RNA
Rfam family: Bacterial small subunit ribosomal RNA
Source: RNAcentral